CAGAGCUUACUGAGAUGCUGAACCUGGAGAGAUAAAGUAAAGCUGGAUAAAAAACCAAGAUGCACAAACUUUUCCAACGAAGUUAGAACCCUGGAAUCUUAUGUGGAAAAAUCACAAGUUCAGUGUCUGCCUGUGAUAUAGAGUAUGUUCCAAGAUCAACUGGAAUAUCAAGCAAGAUACCAUCUGAAGGAAAUGGAAAUACAGAAGAAAGGAAGGGAAAGGGAAAGAACAUCAUCUACAGCUCUGUGAGCACUCUCUGUGGUUGUCUAAUAAUAAAAUUGUCUGAGGAAGCAGUU
This is a non-coding RNA of Peromyscus maniculatus bairdii (prairie deer mouse), 296 nucleotides long. Lineage: Eukaryota; Metazoa; Chordata; Mammalia; Rodentia; Cricetidae. The record is from RefSeq and is a predicted model, not a curated record.